GAAACUGUUGGUAGAUUUAUAUAAUGGUCUACUAUAUAGCAGUGAAUGAAUAUCCUAGCGCUCUGUGAAACAACCUGGAUUAAUUUCAGUGUUCAGAGUGUGAGGUGUGAGACAAGUCCUUCAGUUCAAGAGUGUAUUUAGGAAGUAAUCCCAGGAAGCAGAAAUGGGAAUGAGCAAAAAAGGAAGAAAAGUCAAUAAAAGGUGCAGUAUGGAGCUACUUACCACUGUGAACCCAUUGGGAACACUCGGAGGAAUCAUGUCGAAUACAGCUCAGAGCUGAAGGCCUUCCUGAUGCGCUUGCCUGCUCCCUGGUCUCUCUGCAUGGGGAAGUAGUGUUCCCAGCUUGCAAACUCCAGCUUUGCCUGUGAGGGGAACAAGCGUCCCUGAUCCAGAAGGUGGUGAGUCCUCCCCUCUCUCUUCAUGCUUUUUAGUCCUUUAACUUUCUCAGGA
Molecule: small RNA, 450 nt
Filed under: Pongo abelii (Sumatran orangutan)
Lineage: Eukaryota; Metazoa; Chordata; Mammalia; Primates; Hominidae
Description: processed transcript
Source: RNAcentral